GUAAAGUUAGUUUAAAUAAAAUAAUAAAUUGUGGGUUUAUAGAUAAAGGUUUUACUUUACU
Molecule: transfer RNA, 61 nt
Filed under: Mastigoteuthis agassizii
Lineage: Eukaryota; Metazoa; Mollusca; Cephalopoda; Oegopsida; Mastigoteuthidae
Description: tRNA-His
Source: RNAcentral